This 329-nucleotide ribosomal RNA is filed under the name uncultured eukaryote. RNAcentral describes it as "partial 18S ribosomal RNA". It matches the Rfam family "Eukaryotic small subunit ribosomal RNA", at positions 1470 to 1796 of the family's 1831-position model. The record is from RNAcentral.
CCCUUAGAUGUUCUGGGCCGCACGCGCGCUACACUGAUGCAUUCAACGAGUUUUACCUUGGCCGAGAGGCCUGGGCAAUCUUUUAAACCUGCAUCGUGAUAGGGAUAGAUUAUUGCAAUUAUUAAUCUUGAACGAGGAAUUCCUAGUAAACGCGAAUCAUCAAUUCGCAUUGAUUACGUCCCUGCCCUUUGUACACACCGCCCGUCGCACCUACCGAUUGAAGUUUUCGGUGAGCUGGCAGGAGGAAUUUUUUGAAACUGGUUCGCUAGUGGAUUUUAGUUCCAAAUGCCAACGAAUCGAUGGCUUUAGAGGAAGGAGAAGUCGUAACA